AAGCCGUGGUGUGGGCAUUGGUUAGUGUAGCUUCUAAACCGUUCCAAAGCUUCACUAAAGCUCUCGUUAUUGUUCUGCGUGAAACUUGAGAUCUGAUUCCUGAGCUU
RNAcentral lists this small nucleolar RNA (107 nucleotides) under Eutrema salsugineum. RNAcentral describes it as "Plant small nucleolar RNA R71". It matches the Rfam family "Plant small nucleolar RNA R71". Rfam says of the family: R71 is a member of the C/D box family of snoRNAs containing the C (UGAUGA) and D (CUGA) box motifs. Multiple nearly identical copies of this snoRNA have been identified in Arabidopsis, and it is thought to function as a 2'-O-ribose methylation guide for 18S ribosomal RNA. Lineage: Eukaryota; Viridiplantae; Streptophyta; Magnoliopsida; Brassicales; Brassicaceae. The record is from Rfam by way of RNAcentral.